UAUUUAUAUAUACUGUGAAGUAAAAUUAAAAUUCUUAUAACAUUUGAUUCAAUAAUCAUUUAAAUUUUUUUUAUUAAAUAAUUUUUUGCAUUUAUAAAUUAUGUUAGGUUUGAGACACUUGUAUAAUUACAUAUUUAUAUGUUCCUUGUAUAAUAAACACUGAAAGUGUUAAUAAGUUAAUACAUACAAAGGGGUUUAUGAAAUUUUUGAUCAUUGUGUUACAAUACUUUUGAUAAAAGAGUGAAGGGUGUAGCAUUAUAAAGCUAUUGUCAAUACUAAAUCUUAUACAAAUUUGAUUAUUUUUGAAAAUUUGGAGUAAAUGUUGUUUACAUUUGGUUUUAUUUUUUCAUUGUUCAUAUGGAUGUGCAUAAUAAUGUGAAAAUAUUUUCAAAAAACAAACAUUUGAGUAAAAUGUUGACUACUUUACAUAAAGUUUAUAAAAUUCUGUCAAUUAACACAAGUUACAUUUUGUCAUUUUUUCCCAAUUUU
Long non-coding RNA from Daktulosphaira vitifoliae (grape phylloxera), 489 nucleotides. RefSeq lists it as uncharacterized. The record is from RefSeq and is a predicted model, not a curated record. NCBI's taxonomy places the organism in Eukaryota, Metazoa, Arthropoda, Insecta, Hemiptera, Phylloxeridae. The transcript is spliced from 2 exons.